UACGGGGGGGGCAAGCGUUGUUCGGAAUUACUGGGCGUAAAGGGCGCGUAGGUGGCCAACUAAGUCAGACGUGAAAUCCCUCGGCUUAACCGGGGAACUGCGUCUGAUACUGGAUGGCUUGAGUUUGGGAGAGGGACGCGGAAUUCCAGGUGUAGCGGUGAAAUGCGUAGAUAUCUGGAGGAACACCGGUGGCGAAGGCGGCAUCCUGGACCAACACUGACGCUGAUGAGCGAAAGCCAGGGGAGCAAACGGG
Molecule: ribosomal RNA, 253 nt
Filed under: uncultured bacterium
Lineage: Bacteria
Description: partial 16S ribosomal RNA
Rfam family: Bacterial small subunit ribosomal RNA
Source: RNAcentral